GAUGAACGCUGGCGGCGUGCUUAACACAUGCAAGUCGAACGAAGUGGCGCAGGGGUGUGUAAUACGUGGGUAACCUGCCCUCCUUUUGGGGAUAAGCCGUGGAAACGGGGUCUAACACCGAAUAAAGGGGGAUGGGAUCGCGGCCUAUCAGCUUGUUGGUGGGUUGAUGGCCCAACAAGGCGGUGCCGGGUAGCGCGGCUGAGAGGGUGACCGGCCACGUGGGAACUGAGAAGCUGCCCAGGCUCCUACGCAGGGUGGCAUUGGGGGCUAUUGAACAAAGGGUGAAAGCGUAAGGCAGCGUGUGCGCAUAAGGGUUGCGGGUUUUCGGGUUGUACACCUCUUUCGGAAUCGAACGGGUAGGUGGAGAAGAAGCGCCGGCUAACUACGUGCCAGCAGCCGCGGUAAUAC
This 408-nucleotide ribosomal RNA is filed under the name uncultured bacterium. RNAcentral's name for it is "partial 16S ribosomal RNA". It matches the Rfam family "Bacterial small subunit ribosomal RNA", at positions 28 to 526 of the family's 1533-position model. The record is from RNAcentral.